Molecule: non-coding RNA, 156 nt
Organism: Gossypium raimondii (Peruvian cotton)
Lineage: Eukaryota; Viridiplantae; Streptophyta; Magnoliopsida; Malvales; Malvaceae
Source: Rfam
GGUGGAAUUGCCACAACAUGGGCAUUCUUCUUAGCAAGAAUUAUUGCAGUAGAAUAAUGGCUAGGCUAAAUACUUUUGGGUGAUUGAUAGCGAAGUAGUACCGUGAGGGAAGGGUGAAAAGAACCCCCGUCGGGGAGUGAAAUAGAACAUGAAACC